This is a small nuclear RNA of Callithrix jacchus (white-tufted-ear marmoset), 107 nucleotides long. NCBI's taxonomy places the organism in Eukaryota, Metazoa, Chordata, Mammalia, Primates, Cebidae. The record is from Ensembl.
GCGCUUACUUCACUAGCACAUAUACUAAAAUUGGAAUAAUACAGAGAAGAUUAGCAUGGUCCCUGUGCAAAGAUGCCAUGCAAAUUUGUGAAGCAUUCCAUACUUUU